RNAcentral lists this small nuclear RNA (88 nucleotides) under Plasmopara halstedii. Lineage: Eukaryota; Oomycota; Peronosporomycetes; Peronosporales; Peronosporaceae. The record is from RNAcentral.
AACCACUUCGGUGGUCAUCCGUAAAAAUUGGAACGAUACAAAGAAGAUUAGCAUGGCCCCUGCGCAAUGCUAAAUCGGCCCCUUUUCU